CCAGACUCCUACGGGAGGCAGCAGUGAGGAAUAUUGGUCAAUGGGCGGGAGCCUGAACCAGCCAUGCCGCGUGAAGGCGAGUGCCCUACGGGCGUUAAACUUCUUUUGUGCGGGAGCAAUAAGGGCCACGUGUGGCCCGAUGAGAGUACCGCACGAAUAAGCAUCGGCUAACUCCGUGCCAGCAGCCGCGGUAAUACGUAGGGAGCAAGCGUUAUCCGGAUUUAUUGGGUGUAAGGGGUGCGUAGACGGGAAAUUAAGUUAGUUGUGAAAUCCCUCGGCUCAACUGAGGAACUGCAACUAAAACUGAUUUUCUUGAGUGCAGGAGAGGUAAGUGGAAUUCCUAGUGUAGCGGUGAAAUGCGUAGAUAUUAGGAGGAACACCAGUGGCGAAGGCGACUUACUGGACUGUAACUGACGUUGAGGCACGAAAGUGUGGGGAGCAAACAGGAUUAGAUCCCCCGGUA
This 463-nucleotide ribosomal RNA is filed under the name uncultured bacterium. RNAcentral's name for it is "partial 16S ribosomal RNA". It matches the Rfam family "Bacterial small subunit ribosomal RNA", at positions 331 to 792 of the family's 1533-position model. The record is from RNAcentral.